GUGAGGCCCAGGCAUCAGUAUUGGGUUUUUUUUUCCAGUGUCCCAGGUGAAUUCAAUGUGUGGCCAAGUUAGAAACCAGUGCCUUAGAGAGAAUAAGAUGAAAAGAGAAGACUGGGAACCUGACUAAUUUCCAGGAGCCAAUCUGGUCUUUUCCCACUGGGCGAGGGCCUCCAGUGGCUCCGGAAAGCAGAUCACUCACAUAACAUUAACCUCCAAAGCAAGAGCACUUUGGCUAAAUUCAAAAACUGUUAUUUUUUGAGACAGGGUACAUUUCUUUUUUUUUUUUUUUUUUUUUUUUAUGGUACUGGGGAUUGAACUCAGGACCUUGCGCUUUCAAGGCAGGCACUGGAACCACUGAGCUAAAUCCCCGGCCCCAGGGUAUAUUUCUGAUGGAACAGAGUUUUAUUUCAAAGGCCUGGAAAAACAUGUAAUCUCUGUUAUGGUUUGGAACUUUAAAGUCCCCCAAAGGCCACCUGUUUAAGACUUGGUCACCAGCCUGUGGUGCUGCUGGGAGGUAGUGGGACUUUUUUUUUUUUUUCGUGAUACUGGAGAUUAAACCUAGGCCCUCUGCACUAAGGAGCGAUAAGAAACCUAACCCACACGACCUGUAGAGUAAGUUUGCCGGUUCACUGACUCCCAUCACAGAAAAAUAAUUUUCAGGACACAUCAAUGAGAGGCACAAAGGGAAUUAUUAGGCAGAAGUUUAAAAAUAACACUCAAAGGAAUAGAGUGCAAGCCCUCAAGAGAGAGAGGCACCUUAUUUCCCGGAACUGGGACAUUUAUGCUUCUCUUGAGGGACUGGAAACCCCAGGAAAAGGUGGCUGAGCCCUCAUAUUACAGGUGCUGUCCCAUGUUACAAAUAUGAGCCCAGAGUUUUUUAGAUGGAUUAUGUAAGCAUUAUUUUAAUUCCCUCAAUCUGUCCCUUUAUCUUAGAAUUAGGAUUCUGAUCUUUUCCUUCUGAGUUAAGCCAAUUUAUGGACUCUCGGGAUUCCUGAGGCAUGUUGGGGGAGAUGGGUCUGGAAGGAGAGGGGCCUGAAUGUGACCAAGGGAACAUCAACACCCUGAGUGACUUCCACAGGAUCCCAGAAGUUUCUGUCUUCUUAAAAGUACAAUCUUUAGUUAUGAUUUUCCGUGUCUCCUUUCUACCUUUUAUAUUUCUUCUUUCUUGCCUCAUCCUGAGCAAUGCUGUUGUUAAAUACGCACCUCCUGUGGACCUUCCAUGCAAUACAACUGGACCAUAUGCGCUUCCGGGCACUGACUGCCCACUUAGUAAGUCUCUACCCACCUCCACUGCCCCCACUAAGCUCAGCUCAGCCUGUCUUGAGCAGGACGGAUGGCAAGAAACACAGCCCUCCCUCAGGACCAGGGGAAAUUGGCUCUGUCACUGAGCAGACUCCAUGGAGGUCCCCAGAGAGGAGGUGGAGACCCUUUUGAGACUUCGCUGACUCUCCUUGCAGAAAGAAUUUUCAAGACGCGUAAGAGAUGUGGAGGGUUACGAGGUCCAUCCUGUAAAGGCCCCACCACCCUUCACUCCAUGCUGAGGACCAGGCCUGCAACACUGGAACUCCUGGUGGACAAAACGCAUCACAACUACACCAAUUACCAAAAGUAUGAAGCGGAAAGAGACCCCUGGGACAGAUGAUAAUGCCACCGCAGGGAGCAGGGGAAGAGGAGCAUGCUGGGAGGACAAUUCCCUAAGGAAUGACGGACCAACAAGAUGAAAAGUAGCAGGAUCCUGGAAGGACUGGAACAGCUGCCAACUGGACUCUCAUCACAGACUUGGCGAAAGACUUGGGAAUUAUCCGUCCUCUGUUGGAGGAGGAGCUCUCUGCCCAAGCAUCCUAAACCUUCACCCUCUAUAAUAGGCCAUUCAUUUAAGGUGCACAAUGACCCAGAGAGUUGGCUACUAUUAUUAUUCCUGUUUCACAUGUAAGGUUACUGAGGCUCAGAGAAGGCUGAAUAAUUUGCCCAAAUCUAUCGCUGAACCGCCCUAAAUGGACCCAAUCUUACAAGCUUGCUUGGUGCUUGGAUGGGAGGCUGCUUAUCACUGCCAGAAGCCCGAGGCUUUACAAUAAUAAUAAAUUCACCCACAAUUCCCAAACCAUGUGGUGCAAACAACAUCAGAAGCCAGAUUCCUUCAGCUCUAAAGAACACACACAAGUUCUGACUCACAAGUUCCAGGGCUGAGGCUGAGAAUCUGCAUUUGUAUAAAG
This 2213-nucleotide long non-coding RNA is filed under the name Heterocephalus glaber (naked mole-rat). RNAcentral describes it as "lncRNA (ENSHGLG00100030679.2)". The record is from RNAcentral. Lineage: Eukaryota; Metazoa; Chordata; Mammalia; Rodentia; Bathyergidae.